Molecule: long non-coding RNA, 7786 nt
Organism: Dermochelys coriacea (leatherback sea turtle)
Lineage: Eukaryota; Metazoa; Chordata; Testudines; Dermochelyidae
Exons: 2
Source: RefSeq, a predicted model, not a curated record
AAGCAGAAUCAUAAGCAAAUUGUUUGAAUUUUACUCGAAGUAAAAUUAGAGUAUGAAAGCUAUUUGACAGUCUUGGAGCACAAAUCCAAAAAAGAGGAAAGCAUAGUUCAUUUCUUUAACAAUGCAAAAACAUACAUCUAUGUUAAAUACCUAAACAGUACUCAAUUUUAAUGCAAUAUAUACUUUAUGCUGACUUUAACAGUCAUUUAAUAAUCAAUAGCUGUACAAAUUUGUUUACCUUGGUUUUCUUUAAAGUAAACCACCAGAGUCCAAGCAAAACAAAGUGUAAGUGUGUGUGUGUGUGUGUGUGUGUGUGUGUGUGUGUGUGUGUGUGUUAAAAAAAAAAAAAAAAGACAGGUACAGCAUCUGUACAGAUGAUAGUCCCAUGUUUUUUGCUUUAAAAGAAAUCACCUGGAUUUUGAUAAAUGUGACACACAAUGAUGCAUGAGGUAACUUUUUCAAAUUCUAGGAACCCUGUACCAUGUUUCCAAAUGGUGCUAUGACUUGAAGUCUUUGGAAAACUGACUUGUUUAAGUAGUGACAAGGUGGCCAUUCACUAAAAAUACCUCUUUGUUUUUGGCAUGCCAAGUACUUGGCCCUGAAAGACUUCUAGUGGUACCUGGUUUUGUCAGCUUUAGACGAUCAUGCAGAAGAAUUGUAAAAAUUGCGUUUCCCUAGAGAUAUGUUAAGUGAAUUGAACUGGGUCACAUUCAUAGCGUUGCAUCCCCUAAAGUAUGGCUAGCUGCCACCUUUCCUUUUCCCAGUUUGUCACUCUGUUGCCAAAGCCCCUGCUUUGCAAAAGUGCUCCAAGCACAGAAACUGUACAAGUGUCCCCACUCCUCUUUUGUGAGCAGGCAUGUUCCACAUCAUGCUUCAGUAAGAAGUUCAUCAUAACACCCUUAGGGGCCACUACUGUUUUUAAAAUAUUUACUGUGAUGAAGCUGCCAUUUAAGCUUAAAGUCAAGUUUUGAGAAUUCAAAGGCACAAUUAGAACACAAUGGUGGUGGUGUAAUAUGCAAGUACCACACCCCCACUCGUGAAUCUCUCCUCAGAUUCCCCUGCCUCAGAGGGGUGUUGAUCUCCAUUACUACUUUAGACAGCAGCCCUUCACAUCACAAGAUUUGGCCAAACCUGCCUUAAGCUCUUCCCUGAAACUGAUAUUUGUUGAGUAAUUUUCCACUGGGCACUCUCAGGGAACCAAUCUUGACCGACCACGUCAAUACUGGUUCCCUGUUGUGAAAUUAGAGUGCCACUCUCCCUCCAUGUUUGUCUUUAGGUCUCAGCCCUCCCCUUCCCCCCUUCUUUUAAAUUUCAAUGUUAGGGCUAGGUAGCGGCUAGUGCAUAAGGAAUGGAGAGAGGACACUGGGUCGAAUGUGCUUCCUUCCUUCCUUCCUUGUCCAGAGCUAAAGAGGCAGCUGCAACUUCUGCCCUUGUGUUCCCUGUCCAUAAAGCUUGGAGUUGUCCAGUGCCCACAGUGAUAUUAGACACUUUGAAAGGGAACAAUAAGAGAGAGAGUCCUUCUGCACUGGCCGGUGGAGUAUGGGCACGCACAUUCUGUACACUUUCAAAGGGUAGCGUAGCUCCUUCACACCUUAGGAGCUCCUAGAAACAUCCUGCCUGUGACUGAGAGAGCAAGAAUACUCUAAGAGCUUGGGAAGCUGUAAAAAAACCACAGAAUGUAGUGUUUAAUUUUAGCCCUAGGUUGGGAUUCUAGAUAGUGGGGCUCUGGGUGCUCCCUGGGGGCUAUGCCAGAAACAGGAGCAAUAUGAGGGGCUGGACAGGCACAAGCCCAAGUGCUAGGCUGAGACAAAGAGGCAAGAUUUUCCCUACAUCCUCCACUGAGGACCUCUAAUCAGACUGCAGAGGGUGAAAGGUCUGAAGCAGGCAGGGGAAAAGAAAGUGAUAAAGCAUUGUUCUACAGUGAAUUCCUGCCCCAAGUCCUGCUCGAGGGGAGUUCCUAAAGCUUUUCAGCAGACAGAUUCUGGGGAGUCCACCAGCCCAAAGACAUCAGUCUUUGGUGGAGCAUCCACAGGCCCCAGUCAUCAAGCAGGAAAUACCUUGGGUCGCCAAUUCCUACAUUUGAUCUAAAAUUAAACACCAAUAAGGAAACUGACAGAUCAAAACUUUACUAAUGUAGCAGUGGGGAUAUAAAACACCACCCACCUUAUGAUUUCUUUACUCUUCCCAGUUUAAAAAUAGAGGUGGGGUCCUAGUCAUCUUGUGUGUUUGCGAUACAGUAACAUGCAAUAUAUUGCAGCAAGCUUAGGUCAAGUCUGAGUUUAAGCAAAGUGCACUUUUGACUAUAGUACUUAAAAACAGUGACUAAUUAUAUAUAAAAAAGCUUGUUGAUCUAGACUAAUAUGUAAUCAGAUGCCACCUAUAAAAAGGCAUAUGUAUGAUCACCUUUUUGAUCUAUCUGCAAAUGCCAUGAACAAAUCAGCAACUGCUAAGAAAAUAUUUAAGUUAUCAACGGUAGCCUCUCCAUCAUUUCACUAUGGCUCAGGAAAAACCCUGCAAUUUUUCAGCCUUACUCGGAGGAUCCACCAUAAUUACACUAGCACUUUAGUUCAGUGAUGUGGUAUCAAUCUCUCUCUCAUACACAUGCAUACGCACCUCUAACCCCACAGGAUCAUUCUAGUUUGAAGUGAUAGUAUUUCCAAAAGAACUGCCACUCUUUUCUUUCUUGUGCUUGCUGACUUGUGGUUAUUAUUCCAACUAUAAAAUAAGGUGCCUUUUAAUAUUGUUAGUUGUCUUUGGUACCUCAUUUAUGUCCCCCACCCUCCCGCAAGUAGUGGAGUCUAUAUUAUGGCGGGGGAAAAAUUGAAAAGGGAAAAGAAAAUGACAAGCACGCUUGUGAAAACUGGCUUCCCCCUGGAUUUUCUAUAGGUCUGUCUAUACUACCCCCCCAGAGCGUGAUCGAUCCAUCCCAUGUAGUCUAGAUACGAUAAAUCAACCCCAGCCUGCUCUCCUGUCAACUCCGGUAUGCCACCAGGUCAAGAGGUGCAGGCAUAGUCGACGGGGGAGUGUCAGCAGUUGCCUCACGGCAGUGAGUAGAUUUAAGUACAUCAACUUCAGCAAUCCCCUCCUCCCCCCACACUGUAGAUAAGGCCUAAGUGUGCUGUUAUGCCCUGUGUCAUAAGGGAACAUUUUCAGAAAUGUGCUUUUAAAACUACCCUAGUGAUGCAAAGUUCAACUUGUAGGGUAAACCAGGUGUAGCACUGCUUUGCAUCAUUAGAACAGCAAAACACCAUCUGGACCAACACUUUGAAGAUUAUUAUUCACUUUUCAAAUCUCUCUCUCUCUGUCCCUGCACUUACUUCUUUAUCCUCUUUCCUAAUGCAGCACGUGAAACUAAAAAUUGAUCCAGAAAAGAACUUACUUUAAACUUUUUAAUCAUUGCACUACUAGAUAUUAGUCACCAUAAGGACUAUAUUUUCUUUCUUGGCUUAGGUUCUCUUUGUUUGAUGGCUUUCCUUAACAGGAGCCUUCAAAAUAGGGAAGGGAAGAAACUGAAGAUGACAAGAAACAGAGAAAUUGGUGAGACACUACUAAUAAAUAUAAAAAAGACAUUGUGUUAAGCUAAUAACUUACUAGGACAAGGUCUUGUAUUGCUAGAGAGGAGUAUUUUCCCUGAAGGGUUUCAAAGACUGUAAAAGCAUAUAGAAAGCACUAGUAUGUGUCUUAUGUUUUGCCCAUGGAUUUCUUGAUUAUGAAAUGUUGAGCUUGACCGCAGGGGAGACUGAAGAUCAUUCUUUAACUACAGACGAGAUGCAACAGCCAGCAAAACUUCCGUUCACCCUGUACUACUCUGACAAUGUACCUCUACUCUGAUCACCACUCUGAGCGCUUGUCAAGCGUGGCCCAUUGAGUCUCUGGCCUCUUUACUAAGAGGGUGCUAAUUGCUGCUAACUGGGAUGAUGGUUUUAGUGACAUAGGUGCCUAGUUACUGAGAAAACUGGACUCAGCUCUCCCAACUCAUUUUUACACAGCUCACCUACACACUAUCAGAAAGCUACAUUCAGUCACUGAGCCAUCUGUUCCCUUCCUCUUCCCUACAGUUCAGUUGUAGUUUAGACAGAAAGAACAGUAGCAUUGUCACCUAGUAUAUUUGUGUUUUCCCUGUGAAAUGACAGUAACUGUGUCACAGUUGUGAUGACUGUCUUCAUGUGUGACUGAAUCAUGUCACAGCUCCGAAAAAGAUAUGUGUGAGCCUCUAUUCCAUAUGGACAGGAGAAGAGUAAGACCCUAAAAUAUUGGAAUUUUACCACAUCUACAGUGAUGCAUAGUGGAAACUCUUGUCAAUGGGGAUUUGCAGAGGUGUGACAUUAUUUAUUAAUCUGUAUGUGUGGUGGUAACAGCAUGAUUUUAAAAACAAAGUAACAUUUGUGGAAAAAUGGUAAAGACAAAUGCCACUAGCGCCAUGUGAGAUGUGAUGCUAGGCUAAUUUUGGGAUGUGGGAAAUGCCCAUGAUCCAUUGUAGUAGAAUAAUCCCUGUUAAAAUCAUUACAGUUUUUUGCCUUUUCCUUAAUGAACAUUAACAUGGUAUUCCCUAACCCACAUAAAGCUAACUCCUUGCAAAUGGGUAAUUAGGCAACACUUUACUUGCAAACUGUAAAGGCUUUAAUGGCAACUGCUGUACUAGCAUGCUUCUGCCGGAGUAGCACUUUGCAGUGCUUCAGCCCUGUUCUCGCCUUUUUAAAGAAUAUUUUCUCCCUGCUAUUAAAACAAAAAUUCCAAUAAAAAGCCCCAGUUCCCAGCACCGGCCAGUAGUUCUAUAGUCACACUAAAUACUGAAGAAGUAGUGGCCCUGGCCAAGGUUUUCUUUCCCUGAAGCUUGCCUCCUUGAACACCUCUCUACUGCUCUCAGAGCAAAAAUGGCAACCCUUAGAAAACAGCUUGGGCCCCCUUUGAACCUUUGAGUGGCUGUCCACCUCAUGUAGUUCUCACUCCCCCUCAGCCUCUGACUGGAUGCCCAAAGAAGGGUUUUUCAUUCCCCUUCAGCCUAGCAACCUGGCGGGCUCUGUCUACAGGACUGGUUUCUCCGUCAGAAGAUCAUUCAAUACACUUAUUUAGAACACUUCUUAAAAACUACCUGAAAGUCCAUCUAAUCUUAAUACUACAGUGUUCAUGUAGUUUGUAUCCAUGCAUCAGUAAUCUUUACUAACUUCACCCUGGUAACAAAUAUAAAUAAUAUAAGGAGGUUUGUGAAGUUCUGCCCAUUGCUGAUUAAACUGUAAAUUAAACAUUGAUAAUUUGGUUGACCAGAUGUCCAGUUUUUAAAAAAGGGACAGUCCCAUUUUUUGGGACUCUCUCUUAUACAGGUGCCUAUUACCCCCCACCCCCUGUCCUGUUUUUUCACAGUUGCUAUCUGGUAACCCCACUGAUAAUCCACAGCUGUGUUUAAUCUGUCACAAAACCCUUAACUAGACACAGAACUGACACUUUCAUUUUAUAAUUCCCAAAUCUCUGCAAAAUGCCUUUAAAUGAAUAGAGAAUUUUGUAGCCUAUUGAUGACAGAGAGAAUAGGUGGGCUGAUUCUUGUCGACCAAAUCAAUGCCAAGGCCAGCCAAUGAUCCAAUAGUACAUUCUGGCCUAAACAGUGCUAGCCAGAUUAAAUUGCCUCCCACCACCACUGACAGGACAUUUUUAAGUACUGGAUCACAAGUCUCUAACAAAGCAGAAAUCAAAGCAAUCUCACUACACUAUUUAAAUAACAGAAACCACCCUUCAAAAUGUUGCAUUUUAAUGAAUAACCUUAAAAACAACCAUUUUUUUUCCAAGCAUCAUGGCUUGCGAUGCACUCCUGGCAUUCAUCAACCAGCUGCCUAUUUUAGACCCCUUUUGUGUCAGUAAGAUGCUGCCAUGACUAAGCAGAAAAUAAUACCGAAGCAGACAGCAAGAUCUAUUCCUCAAAGGAAAUUAUAAGACAGCAAAAUAAAUGAACUCAAGCUGAAAAAACCCCCAUAAUCCUGUUAUUCCCCCAAUCCUAUGACUCUGUGUGUGGAGCUCUAUCUAUCAAGCAGACAACUAACUGAUCUUUCCUUGCACAUCUGUGCAAGAAAAGAGGAAGCUGAGCUGUUUACUGGGAACCACAUGGUGCCCGGUCACGCACUUGCCAGGAAACCUAGAACCUUCUCCAUCAAGCCCAUUGUUCGGUAAGUCUGAGAAAACUGCUUCGGGCAGUAACAAAUGUUCCUUCAGUAUCAGAGAGUCUGUAAAGGAAGGGCUCAAACAAAGUAGCAUAACCCUGUGUAUAUAUUGAAUAUCCACACAUCUCUACAAAUCAUCGGUCAUCAACACUCGUCUCGUUUUCAGUCACGUAAUGCAUGUUCACACUUGGUCUUACAUGUGAGCUGCAGAAUACAAAUCAAUUUUGUUCCUCUUGUAUUAUAGUUUAAUUUCCAAAAUUUAGUAGUAAUUUCCAACAAAUAUUAGUAUCCCCCUGCAGGUUCACUCAUGAAAAUAUUGUACCCUGGUUCUUUACAGUGAAACCUUCAAGGGGAUAACUUAAUGUUUGCCACAGUGAUAGCGUACUAAUAAUGAGAUAACCAUGCAUAGGGGAAGCUACUUGAAUUCAGAAAAGUCCUUUUACAAAGGAAAAGGUAUUGGGUAAAACUUUCAAAUGAUUUAAAGCACUCCUGACUUUCAAUGAGACUUUGGUGCCUAACAGACUUUUGAAAAUUUUACCCAUUAAUGCCAAAAAGUGUGGCAGAAGAGUGCGUUUUUCAUAAACCUCAUGUAGGUGCAUGUACAACUAAUACAUGUUCACUGCAGUACAGAUUAGGUAUCCCAUUGUCUCAUGAAGUUCUAACUUAACCAUCUAGUGUCGAAACAUGUCUAUUACUGUAACAACGCAAUUUAAGGAAAUGCACAACACACUGGAAAUGGGAUUAAACAGAAUCUGUUGCACUAGCCACAGCUAGGGCUAUAAGAGAACAUCUGAAAUCUUGCUCAAACCCUGCUGUUCCUUGAUCAUGGAUUAUUUUUUAUAGAUUCAAUAUACAAGGAGUAUUAAACAUUUAUUCUCCACAACUGAAAUUUCAAUUUAGUUGCUACACUAGCUUAACGCUUCCAAUUGUAUCACCAAGAAUUUGGCAUUUGCCAUAUGCUAAAAAACUUUUAGCUAAACAGAAAGCUUCAGCAUUUAAAUAUUAGAUUUUUUUUAUUUUUACGUUCUUGUUUUUGUGGAAUUUUAAACUACAUAAAUAUUUAACGCUCACAAAUAUUCAAAAAUACUGCUGCUUAAAUUUCUAAUUAUGUACCAGAAGAAACAUUACAAUAAAAUAUUCUCAGUUUAGCUCUGCUUUUGCCAGAAAAACUGCAUGUUGAGAAUUUCAACACAGCUGUACUGGAGAAAGCAAAAUUAUGGCAAUAGAGAAGACCUUGAACUGGUCACUAUGGUCUACAUCAAUCUAUAUAUAGUGUAUAUACACAUGGCUGUGAGAGUCUGUACUCAUGAAUUUUUAUGUGUGCACGGUAUUCAUACUGCACAAAGUUGAUUUGUCUGAGUUUAUUUCUUCUACUGUAAGGAAUAGUGGGAAAAACCUCCUGAUAGCACUGAAACCAUAUGGAUUUCAUUUCACCCAUCCUGUGGCACUACUUUCAAUAGCAAUGGACUGAUUUUUGCAACUCAUUCAAAAUUUCAUUUUUUAUCUUAAUACACUUGUACAUAUAACAAACAGUACAAACUUUGGAAAUAAGAUGCAGUGGUCACUGAUACAAUACGUUUCACUACGGUAUAACCAAUACACGAGCAAACAUUGUAUUGUAUCAGAGACAUUUUUAA